UACGUAGGUCCCGAGCGUUGUCCGGAUUUAUUGGGCGUAAAGCGAGCGCAGGUGGUUUAUUAAGUCUGGUGUAAAAGGCAGUGGCUCAACCAUUGUAUGCAUUGGAAACUGGUAGACUUGAGUGCAGGAGAGGAGAGUGGAAUUCCAUGUGUAGCGGUGAAAUGCGUAGAUAUUAGGAGGAACACCAGUGGCGAAGGCGGCUUACUGGACUGUAACUGACGUUGAGGCUCGAAAGCGUGGGGAGCAAACAGG
This 252-nucleotide ribosomal RNA is filed under the name uncultured bacterium. RNAcentral's name for it is "partial 16S ribosomal RNA". It matches the Rfam family "Bacterial small subunit ribosomal RNA", at positions 524 to 776 of the family's 1533-position model. The record is from RNAcentral.